GGGCCCUUAGCUCAGUUGGUUAGAGCACCUGACUCAUAAUCAGGGGGUGGCUGGUUCGAGUCCAGCAGGGCCCA
RNAcentral lists this transfer RNA (74 nucleotides) under Cytophagales bacterium. Its description in RNAcentral is "tRNA-Ile". It matches the Rfam family "tRNA". From Rfam's summary of the family: Transfer RNA (tRNA) molecules are approximately 80 nucleotides in length. The record is from RNAcentral. Lineage: Bacteria; Pseudomonadati; Bacteroidota; Cytophagia; Cytophagales.